RNAcentral lists this ribosomal RNA (442 nucleotides) under Streptomyces lavendulae. RNAcentral describes it as "partial 23S ribosomal RNA". It matches the Rfam family "Bacterial large subunit ribosomal RNA", at positions 2490 to 2925 of the family's 2925-position model. The record is from RNAcentral. Lineage: Bacteria; Bacillati; Actinomycetota; Actinomycetes; Kitasatosporales; Streptomycetaceae.
CCCCAAGAGUCCAUAUCGACGGGAUGGUUUGGCACCUCGAUGUCGGCUCGUCGCAUCCUGGGGCUGGAGUCGGUCCCAAGGGUUGGGCUGUUCGCCCAUUAAAGCGGUACGCGAGCUGGGUUUAGAACGUCGUGAGACAGUUCGGUCCCUAUCCGCUGUGCGCGUAGGAGUCUUGAGAAGGGCUGUCCCUAGUACGAGAGGACCGGGACGGACGAACCUCUGGUGUGCCAGUUGUCCUGCCAAGGGCAUGGCUGGUUGGCUACGUUCGGGAGGGAUAACCGCUGAAAGCAUCUAAGCGGGAAGCCUGCUUCGAGAUGAGGACUCCCACCCACUUGAUGGGGUAAGGCUCCCAGUAGACGACUGGGUUGAUAGGCCGGAUCUGGAAGCCAGGUAACUGGUGGAGGUGACCGGUACUAAUAGGCCGAGGGCUUGUCCUCAGUUG